RNAcentral lists this unclassified non-coding RNA (385 nucleotides) under uncultured Actinomycetes bacterium. RNAcentral's name for it is "uncultured actinobacterium contains 16S-23S intergenic spacer region". Lineage: Bacteria; Bacillati; Actinomycetota; Actinomycetes. The record is from RNAcentral.
UCCGAGUUGACCCCGGCAGUCUUCGAUGAGUCCCCAGCCACCCGAAGGUGCUGCUGGCAACAUCGAACGAGGGUUGCGCUCGUUGCGGGACUUAACCCAACAUCUCACGACACGAGCUGACGACAACCAUGCACCACCUGUACACCGACCCAAAGGGGGGCACCAUCUCUGGCGCUUUCCGGUGUAUGUCAAGCCUUGGUAAGGUUCUUCGCGUUGCGUCGAAUUAAGCCACAUGCUCCGCUGCUUGUGCGGGCCCCCGUCAAUUCCUUUGAGUUUUAGCCUUGCGGCCGUACUCCCCAGGCGGGGCACUUAAUGCGUUAGCUGCGGCACAGACGACGUGGAAUGUCGCCCACACCUAGUGCCCAUCGUUUACGGCGUGGACUAC